CCUACGGGAGUCAGCCGUGGGGGAUAUUGGACACUGGGGGGAACCCUGAUCCAGCGACGCCGCGUGAGUGAAGAAGUAUUUCGGUAUGUAAAGCUCUGUCAGCAGGGAAGAAAGACAUGACGGUACCUGACCACAAAGCCCCGGCUAACUACGUGCCAGCAGCCGCGGUAAUCCGUAGGGGGCAAGCGUUAUCCGGAAUUACUGGGGGUAAAGGAAGCGUAGACGGUCAAGUAAGUCUGGAGUGAAAGGCCGGGGCCCAACCCAGGGACUGCUCUGGAAUCUAUUGAACUUGAGUGCAGGAGAGGUGAGCGGAAUGCCUAUUGUAGCGGUGAAAUGCGUAGAUAUUAGGAGGAACACCAGUGGCGAAGGCGGCUUACUGGACUGUAACUGACGUUGAGGCUCGAAAGCGUGGGGAGCAAACAGGAUUAGAUACCCGAGUAGUC
This 443-nucleotide ribosomal RNA is filed under the name uncultured bacterium. RNAcentral's name for it is "partial 16S ribosomal RNA". It matches the Rfam family "Bacterial small subunit ribosomal RNA", at positions 338 to 795 of the family's 1533-position model. The record is from RNAcentral.